Molecule: RNA transcript, 1199 nt
Organism: Ananas comosus (pineapple)
Lineage: Eukaryota; Viridiplantae; Streptophyta; Magnoliopsida; Poales; Bromeliaceae
Exons: 6
Source: RefSeq, a predicted model, not a curated record
AGGAAAGAAAAGAAAGAAAUCAACAAUGCAUGCAAAGGAUGUAUGGAGUUUAUCGGAUGCAGAGAGAGUGGUGAUAGUAUGCAAUUUGUUGGGCCAACCGGUGAAAAAAGUGGGGGCAUCUUAGGUGGGUGGCUUGGGAUUAUUGCACGAAGGCCAAAUUUAUGUCCGAUUCACUAUCCAAGUUGGAAAGUUUUGCCUCUUAUGUUCAAAACUAAACUGCUCUUGUUGACUCGGAGUAAGCUUUUGUUUCCUUCCAAUGGCAAUAUUGAGAAGUGGGUAUUGAAGUCACUAAGUAGAAAAUGGAAGAACUUCAAGUGUGGACUUAAAGGAAAAUAUAUCAUAGAUAAUUACACAGAGCAAGAAGUUGCAAGUAAUGUGCCAAGUGGAUUUACAUCCCAACAAUGGAUAGACCUUGUUCGUUAUUGGUUCUCAGAGAAAAGCAAGCCAUACUCUCAAAUUGGAAAGGUAGCACGUGCCAAGCAUAUUACUCCUCAUACAACUGGUUUUAUGAGUUUUGCUCGGAAAAGAGAUCAAUUUGAAAAGGAAAAUGGAAGAGAGCCGGGACGUGUCGAGUUUUUUGCAUUAACCGACAAACGUAAGAAUGGGACAUAUGAUGAGAGUUCUCAAGAGGUUUUGGAUAAUAUUACGAAGUUAAUAGAAAAGGAAGCAAAAACUGAAAAUGAAGCGUUUACCGAAGUCAUUGGAAAAGAUCGAUAUGGCCGAGUAAAGGGAUAUGGAAUUGGUGUCACCCCAACUCAACUAUUCGGAGUACAAGCUCAAAUUAAGAAUAUGGAGAAUGGAGGAGUAGAUCCUUCGGAAGAUAUGUGAAAGCUACAAGCACAAAUACAAGACGUGCAAAGUAACUAUGACCCUAAGUUGCUAGAGAUGCAUCAAAAUUAUGAGCAGAAAUUACAAGGGAUGCAAAAGAAUUAUGAAUCACAGUUGGAAGAUAUGAAGUACGUAACUAUUAGUUCAAAUCGCCUCAAAACUGCAAUGAGGGUGAAUGUUGUCUGACAUAUACUAUUUUGGUUGGAAUCCUGAAGCAGUUGAGCUCUGCUCAUAUAACUAUUCUCAUCACAUUUUGUCUGCGGCUACAUAUAAAUUACCAGAGGGCAUUCGUUUAAACUGAAAAUACUAUUUACGCUAUACGAUUAAUAAUUCACUGUGAAUAAAAAAGUGAUGAAAUUUUUUUGUUCCUA